CAUUAGAUGACUGAAAGAAAGUACUGGUCUCUUAAACCACACUAUAGUAAAUUAACGCUUACUUCUAAUGA
This 71-nucleotide transfer RNA is filed under the name Platypalpus longicornis. RNAcentral's name for it is "tRNA-Lys". The record is from RNAcentral. Lineage: Eukaryota; Metazoa; Arthropoda; Insecta; Diptera; Hybotidae.